UACCGAAGCAUUUAGAUCAGG
This 21-nucleotide non-coding RNA is filed under the name Caenorhabditis elegans. Lineage: Eukaryota; Metazoa; Nematoda; Chromadorea; Rhabditida; Rhabditidae. The record is from RNAcentral.